This is a long non-coding RNA of Oncorhynchus kisutch (coho salmon), 1373 nucleotides long. RefSeq lists it as uncharacterized. The record is from RefSeq and is a predicted model, not a curated record. NCBI's taxonomy places the organism in Eukaryota, Metazoa, Chordata, Actinopteri, Salmoniformes, Salmonidae. The transcript is spliced from 3 exons.
AGGCUACACAUGCUCUGACUACUGUAGCCCUUACCCCCGCCCCAUUAUAUUGCAGUGUACCAGCAGAGACCGAAAUCCCUGAAGCGUGGCACCGUGUCCAAGGUUGAUGCGAUUCCGUAAAGGAGGGCGGGAGAAAUCUAUCAAGAGGCGGGAGUAGCCUAUCAAGCGCAUAAUCUGGCAAACACUCUGAAAGGGGUGUGUGCAUUUUCAUGAUCGGAUUAUCGUUUAGACCUAAAUUUAAUUUCGUUACAAAUUGAAUUUCUCUCUUCCAUUUGGAAUGAUUGUUCUAUUGCGUUGUAUAAUGUAAACUAUAGCCUUACGCGCUUGCGUCCAUUUCCAAUUUUAUUGCGCAAAACAUAUGCCGUAUUAAAGCAAGGCCUUCUCCAUCUAAAUAACGUGAUCAUCCAGGAGUUAUGAAUAUCUAUUUUGCAAUAUUUGCCUUCAUGGCACCUGUUGUUAUUGUUAUGAUAACGGUAGGGGUAUCAUGUGUAAUUCAUCGAAGGAGGCACAGUCGGAUUGAACGCUCACUUCAAUGAUGGACGCUCUGGAUCACCAUCACCCUCAGACACCAUGGCACAGCCCACACCCCUGGAAGCCUCCCUGGAAGCCAUCAUCAUGACAUUCCACAAGCAUGCUGACAGUGGAGAUGCCAUGACCCUCAGCAAGAAAGCUAACCAACCUCAUCAAGGCAGAGCUAUCCAUCAUCGCUGUGAAGGGUGGUCCUGAAUGGGAUGACCUGGUGACGAUGCUGGACCAGGACGGUGACGGCGCUCUGAACUUCAUGGAGUACCUUACCCUGAUUGUAUCCCUUGCCUGCAUGUGCAACUGCGUCCUGAAAGAGAAAAUGUGUUUGCAUUUCAUGAAAAAAACCUGCGUGCUUCCAUCUGCUUUCUACAGUGUAUUGCAUUAGGCCUACAUGUCACACUAAUGUCUCAUAUCUCAUUGAGUACAUUGGGUAAAUGCCCUCCUCCCUGUGUCCACACGCAUGCACGCACGCCCGCACAGACACAAAGGGUUGCAUAACUCGGCAAUAAUUAUGAGACUGAUCCUCAAACACAUUUACCCACAUGGAUUCGUUGUCAGAAAGUAGCUCAGUUGGUAGUGCAUGGCGCUUUCGACAACAGUAUAUUGGGUUUGAUUCCUGGGAACACCCGUUGUAAAAUGUAGGCGUGCAUGACUAAAUCACUUUGGAUAAAAGCCUCUGCUAUAAAUGGCGUAUAUUGUUAGAUUAUAUUAAGAUCUCAAGAAUGCUGCUAAACAGAGCAUAGCAUGUGAGAUAGUAAACAGUGUGUGUAGGCUAUGUGUAGGCCUAAGUAUUUACCGUGAUAUGUUUUAUCUUUGCUGCUAAUAAAUGGGCAAAAUCCCCAACCAAA